AAUAGAUACCCGGGUAGUCCACGCCGUAAACGUUGGGCGCUAGGUGUGGGGCUCAUUCCACGAGUUCCGUGCCGCAGCUAACGCAUUAAGCGCCCCGCCUGGGGAGUACGGCCGCAAGGCUAAAACUCAAAGGAAUUGACGGGGGCCCGCACAAGCGGCGGAGCAUGCGGAUUAAUUCGAUGUAACGCGAAGAACCUUACCAGGGCUUGACAUAUACCGGAAACACCCAGAGAUGGGUGCCCCGCAAGGUCGGUAUACAGGUGGUGCAUGGUUGUCGUCAGCUCGUGUCGUGAGAUGUUGGGUUAAGUCCCGCAACGAGCGCAACCCUCGUUCUAUGUUGCCAGCACGUUAUGGUGGGGACUCAUAGAAGACUGCCGGGGUCAACUCGGAGGAAGGUGGGGAUGACGUCAAAUCAUCAUGCCCCUUAUGUCCUGGGCUUCACGCAUGCUACAAUGGCCAGUACAAAGGGCUGCGAUACCGCGAGGUGGAGCGAAUCCCAAAAAACUGGUCUCAGUUCGGAUUGGGGUCUGCAACUCGACCCC
Molecule: ribosomal RNA, 542 nt
Filed under: uncultured bacterium
Lineage: Bacteria
Description: bacterial SSU rRNA
Rfam family: Bacterial small subunit ribosomal RNA
Source: RNAcentral